AUGUUUUGUGUUGCUUCAUUUUGGUUGCCCCAAGAUUCUCUCCGACAAGUGUACAGCUAUCCGGUGAUGCGCCAAGUACCCCUUGGAUCGUCAAGUUCGACUACAGGAAACCGCCAAGUACCACUACGAUUGCCGUGUACAUCUACGGACGCCAAGCCCGGAACAACAAGUACCCCGACAACGUGGGUAACUAGCGUCGACCCCGUGGACGUCAAGUACCUCUACCGACGACCCCGAACAUUUACGAAAACGUGUACCACUACCGUCGCCGUGUACCACUACUUCCCUCGGCGACCCGUGAACAACUACUCCCACUACCGUCAAACCCGAGCCACUCCGAAAAGGCACGCUUCGAAGGUAUAUUGA
RNAcentral lists this ribosomal RNA (366 nucleotides) under Triticum aestivum (bread wheat). Its description in RNAcentral is "partial small subunit ribosomal RNA". The record is from RNAcentral. Lineage: Eukaryota; Viridiplantae; Streptophyta; Magnoliopsida; Poales; Poaceae.